Molecule: long non-coding RNA, 237 nt
Filed under: Lathyrus oleraceus (garden pea)
Lineage: Eukaryota; Viridiplantae; Streptophyta; Magnoliopsida; Fabales; Fabaceae
Description: Pisum sativum (pea) long non-coding RNA (PSAT_LNC014003)
Source: RNAcentral
GUUAACUGGAGAAUGGGGUUCAUUAUUUUGGCAAACAGGAGAACGAGGUUCAAAUGCAGUGAUCAGAGGAUCAUUUGCGCAAGAGAAAAUUUCGGGGUUCAAGAAAAGCAGAAAAAGAUGAUAAUAAUCCCCAGCGGAUGUGGUGUUCAGGCCGUGGUUAUCCCUGCGUUACCAUUUAUUUUGGUAUCCAGGUCGACGUUGUUGUUUCGGUGAUUAGGCCGACUUUCUCCGUUCCGG